This 69-nucleotide transfer RNA is filed under the name Ovis aries (sheep). It matches the Rfam family "tRNA". From Rfam's summary of the family: Transfer RNA (tRNA) molecules are approximately 80 nucleotides in length. The record is from Rfam by way of RNAcentral. Lineage: Eukaryota; Metazoa; Chordata; Mammalia; Artiodactyla; Bovidae.
CCUGAUAGCUCAGUUGGUAAAGAAUCUGCCUACAAUGCAGGAGACCCAGGUUUGAUUCCUGGGUCAGGA